This 497-nucleotide ribosomal RNA is filed under the name uncultured bacterium. RNAcentral describes it as "partial 16S ribosomal RNA". It matches the Rfam family "Bacterial small subunit ribosomal RNA", at positions 30 to 523 of the family's 1533-position model. The record is from RNAcentral.
AUUGAACGCUGGCGGCGUGCUUAACACAUGCAAGUCGAGCGAAGAACGGAACUUUGAUUCUUUCGGGAUGAAGAGUUCUGUGACUGAGCGGCGGACGGGUGAGUAACGCGUGGGUAACCUGCCUCAUACAGGGGGAUAACAGUUAGAAAUGACUGCUAAUACCGCAUAAGACCACAGCACCGCAUGGUGCAGGGGUAAAAACUCCGGUGGUAUGGGAUGGACCCGCGUCUGAUUAGCUGGUUGGUGGGGUAACGGCCUACCAAGGCGACGAUCAGUAGCCGGCCUGGGAGGGUGACCGGCCACAUUGGGACUGAGACACGGCCCAAACUCCUACGGGAGGCAGCAGUGGGGAAUAUUGCACAAUGGGGGAAACCCUGAUGCAGCGACGCCGCGUGAGCGAAGAAGUAUUUCGGUAUGUAAAGCUCUAUCAGCAGGGAAGAAAAUGACGGUACCUGACUAAGAAGCCCCGGCUAACUACGUGCCAGCCGCCGCAGUAA